UGUUCCCUGCAGUGUACGUGAUAAAUGGUAGGCUUAGAGCCAACACCUCUCUAAGGGGAGCUUUACCUUGUUGCUGUGUGCAUGCUCGUUCUUGCAACGAGAAGCCUGAUGCGACAAAAUGGCGCCCACUUUAACAAGAGGUUCAAGACAUACUGUUUACACGGCACCUGCGGGGUUUAA
This 180-nucleotide non-coding RNA is filed under the name Syntrophorhabdaceae bacterium. RNAcentral describes it as "6S RNA". It matches the Rfam family "6S / SsrS RNA". Rfam says of the family: E. coli 6S RNA was the first non coding RNA to be sequenced, but its function was unknown until recently. Lineage: Bacteria; Pseudomonadati; Thermodesulfobacteriota; Syntrophorhabdia; Syntrophorhabdales; Syntrophorhabdaceae. The record is from RNAcentral.